RNAcentral lists this ribosomal RNA (243 nucleotides) under uncultured bacterium. Its description in RNAcentral is "partial 16S ribosomal RNA". It matches the Rfam family "Bacterial small subunit ribosomal RNA", at positions 15 to 254 of the family's 1533-position model. The record is from RNAcentral.
GAUCAUGGCACAGAUUGAACGCUGGCGGCAGGCUUAACACAUGCAAGUCGAACGGUAACAUAAAGAAGCUUACUUCUUUGAUGACGAGUGGCGGACGGGUGAGUAAUGCUUGGGAAUCUAGCUUAUGGAGGGGGAUAACUACGGGAAACUGUAGCUAAUACCGCGUAGAAUCGAGAGAUGAAAGUGUGGGACCUUCGGGCCACAUGCCAUAGGAUGAGCCCAAGUGGGAUUAGGUAGUUGGUG